Molecule: long non-coding RNA, 540 nt
Organism: Homo sapiens (human)
Lineage: Eukaryota; Metazoa; Chordata; Mammalia; Primates; Hominidae
Gene: PAFAH1B2P2
Product: PAFAH1B2 pseudogene 2
Source: Ensembl
GAAACUGCUGAGAAAAGGCUCCUUCUAAACCACAAAACAAGGUUGCUGCUGGUGCUGGGGCCCGAGGAGGUCCGCGCCGGAGGAGGGCCACAGGGACUGAGCGAGUGACAGACGCACCACCCGUCAAUGCUGCAACCCUGUAAGGCCUCCAUGGACUCUCUACGUGAGUGUAGAAUGAAUCAAGCCGACUCAAACACAGCAGCUAUUCCACAUGCAGUGGAAGAUAUUCAAGGAGACGACAGAUGGAUAUCUCAGCACAACAGAUUUGUCCUGGAUGGACAACAUUUUCCUUGCUUAACCUGGACAACGAUCUGGUUGGCUGAUAUGCAAAAACUCUUGUUCAGACGUCCACCCUGGCAUCGAUGUCUCAAGAAGAGAAGAGUUCAAAUUGCUGUUGAUGGUGUUGUUACUGAAUAUAUAAAUAAACCACAAAAAUAACAGAGGACUAGGAAGGGAAGAGCUGUUUUGUUUGACCUUGUUAAAACUGUUGUGCUGUGGGACUUGACUGCUACAAUUAAAAUGAGUUUUUUGGUUUUCCUA